AACUAUAACGGUCCUAAGGUAGCGAAAUUCCUUGUCAGGUAAGUUCUGACCCGCAUGAAAGGCGUAAUGAUUUGGGCACUGUCUCGACAGCCCGCCCGGCGAAAUUGUAGUACCGGUGAAGAUGCCGGUUACCCGCGACAAGACGGAAAGACCCCAUGGAGCUUUACUGUAGCCUAAUAUUGGGUUUCGAUGUUGCAUGCACAGGAUAGAUGGGACACAGGGAAACAAGUGCUUUGGCAUUUGUGGAGUGGCCGUUGGGAUACCAUCCUUGCGAUAUUGGAAUUCUAACCUGCGCCUUUGAAUCAAGGCGGGGGACAUUGUUAGGUGGGCAGUUUGACUGGGGCGGUCGCCUCCUAAAGAGUAACGGAGGCGUUCAAAGGUUCGCUCAGCUUGAACGGAAAUCAAGCAAAAGAGUGCAAACGCAGAAGCGAGCCUAACUGCGAGACUGACGGGUCGAGCAGUAACGAAAGUUGGAGUUAGUGAUCCGGUGGUAUGUGAGUGGAAAUGCCAUCGCUCAACGGAUAAAAGUUACCCUGGGGAUAACAGGCUGAUCUCCCCCAAGAGUCCACAUCGACGGGGAGGUUUGGCACCUCGAUGUCGGCUCAUCGCAUCCUGGGGCUGUAUUCGGUCCCAAGGGUUUGGCUGUUCGCCAAUUAAAGCGGUACGCGAGCUGGGUUCAGAACGUCGUGAGACAGUUCGGUCCCUAUCUGUCGUGGGCGCAGGAUAUUUGAUGGGAGCUGUUCCUAGUACGAGAGGACCGGAGCGGACGUACCUCUGGCGCACCAGUUGUUCUGCCAAGGGCAUAGCUGGGCAACUAUGUACGGAUCGGAUAAACGCUGAAAGCAUCUAAGCGUGAAGCCGACCCAAAGAUAAGAUAUCCCAUUGUUUCAAACAAGUAAGACCCCUUGAAGACUACAAGGUUGAUAGGCACGAUGUGUAAGUGGAGUGAUCCAUUCAGCAAGCGUGUACUAAUAGGUCGAGGGCUUGACCAC
RNAcentral lists this ribosomal RNA (992 nucleotides) under human gut metagenome. Its description in RNAcentral is "bacterial LSU rRNA". It matches the Rfam family "Bacterial large subunit ribosomal RNA", at positions 1938 to 2925 of the family's 2925-position model. The record is from RNAcentral.